This is a long non-coding RNA of Amborella trichopoda, 2471 nucleotides long. RefSeq lists it as uncharacterized. Lineage: Eukaryota; Viridiplantae; Streptophyta; Magnoliopsida; Amborellales; Amborellaceae. The record is from RefSeq and is a predicted model, not a curated record.
CAAGGUCCCAAACGGGGCGCAGAGGAACUUUCUUCCACUUAUCCCAGUUCUACUCGAUUUGGACAGGCGAUUUUGUAAUCCUAGUUCCGAGUGGGAGUGCAAUCGCCACCGCUGCCUCCCGUCACUAUCUUCCAUAAGGCGGCCAUCUCUCGAUCCAAAUCCGUAGUUGAUGAUCCAGUAAAAGGAGGGUGCGCACGCGAGAGAAAUGGGGAGAGCAAUGGCUAUUUGCUGCAUGAUCUCCUCAUCUAUGCAUGAACUCAAACCGCAUCUUCCUUCCAUCUCUUCCAUUUCAAGAUGGAUCUCAUCACCAUCAUCUGUAGCAGAUGAACAACACCAAAUUGCCCACAGAAACAAAGAUGAGAUGCCCAAGCAGGGCGAAGGAGAGAGAAGAGAAACAGACGAAGAAGAGGAAGACCAUGUAAAUAAAGAAACAGGUGAAAUUGGAGGGCCAAGGGGACCCGAACCCACCAGGUUUGGGGACUGGGAGCGUAAUGGCCGAUGCUCUGAUUUCUGAUGGUCCCUUCUGACUUCAAACUAGUUUAAGUCCACCGACACUAUGCAGACUUCAAACGUGUUUAAAUCCACUGACAAUGAAGGCUUAUAAAAGGAGGCAACCCGUCUUUAGAGAGGCAUCUCAAGUUUUCGAGUCUUGAGUCUUCCACUGGUUUGUAAUGUUCUCUCUGGAGGAUGGAAUUCAGAGACCAGUUCGUCUCUGCCAAAGGAUUGUCUUUGCUGAAGCUCCCGGCUCUCUGGUUGCUUUCUUGUGUGCUUCUCCAUUGCAAGAUGCGAUACUUGCCAUUUUGUUUGUCUAUGAGGAGGAGAGCUGCACCUAGAGUUGAGCCAAGGGAACCUAUAAUUCCUUUGGCACUGAUGAGGAAGAAAACCAGGGUUUUGAAAUGGAAGAGGUCACUAACAUUGUUGAAGGCUUGGGAGAAAACGACGCUGGCUUCCUGGGUCAUAUUGGGGAUGAAAUAGUGAUAGUUGAGGAGUGGUGGUGGUACCAUUGAAUGUCUUACAGCAGGAGGAGAUGUUCCCAUUGGUUGAGGAAUUGGUCCAGCCACCUGAAUUGUAUAAAAAGCUUCUAAAUAGUAAGCACAAAUUGAUUUCUUGGAAAGUUGAUAAAUGGCUUUUUUUGAAAAAUACAAUUGAUAGUACACUUGUGGAUAUUCAGCUCUUGGAUCAAAAUAUCCAGCAGGAAGGAACCAUCUCUGAGGAUAGAGUGUUAGAUGUGCUCUGUUAUGUUCAUCGACUUACCUACAUAGGUUGGAGGAGAUUUAUUGAAAGUAGAUAUUCAGGGUAAAGUGGUUAAAAGAAAGGAGAUCUCAAUACAAAAUUUUUUCAUGCAAUUGCAAGUGAAGGCAGAAAGAUAUUUCAGGACUUAUGGUUCUUGGUGUUGCUGAGAAUGUUCAGGUUGGUUAGAAAUGUAGUAUUAUGAACCAUUUUCAGAAAGCUUUUACUUUGGAUAUUCUUUUUACUCCUAAGAUGAGCGUUAUUGCAUUUAAAUCUCUUUCCUCUGAAAUGGCAGAGAAACUAAAAAUGGUAGUUUCUAUGAAAGAAUUGAAAAAGGCAGUUUUUAUGCUUCCUGGGGACAAGGCUCAUGAACGAGAUGGUUUUCCAUUAAUCAUUUUUCAAAAAUUCUAGUCAAUGGUGAAGGUGAAAUUGUUGGAGAUGGUUAGUGGAUUUAUGCUUAGGGUUGAGUUUGUCAAGGGAGUUAAUGUCAUAUAUAUUGCUCUAAUUAUGAAGAAAUUGGUCAUAUCUGGUCUUCCAGAUAUUUAGACCAAUAAGUCUUCUUACCAGCUUAUACAAAAUUGUGGUUAAAAUUCUUACGGAACAUCUCAAAAGGGUUUUGCCGCAGGUGGUCUCAAACACUCAAUCAACCUUUAUUCAAGACAGGAUGAUUACUGAUAUUGUGUUGGCGGUGAUUAAAUUGCAUAUAUAAGAAGCCUAUGAUAGAGUAGAGUGAUGUGCUCUAUUGGAGUUUUGAGAAAGAUGGGUUUUAGUACAAAAAGGAAGAAUUGGAUUUAUGGAUACCUAUCAACGGCUCAAGGGGUAUAGGGUCAGGGAGUCUUGUUUCGUUUUGGCACCAUAAGUGGUUAGGGUUGUUCCUUUGGAAAUUACUUAUCCACAACUUGAGAAUUUUUAAAGAAAGAAAUGUUGGUUCCAUUUGUACAAUGAAGGGGACUCGAUGAACGAUAUUAAAUGGUGCAAAAACGGAACAACAGAUUCUAAACAGAUUCUAUGGCAGUUUAAAUCAAUUGGGCUUCAAGUUUUAGAUAUGGCAACUCUUUUGAUGACUUCAUUCCAUCCUGUUUACAGGGAGGCUAAUGAUAUCGCGGAUGCUUUGACAAAGAGGGGUGUUUCUAUGCAAGCUUUAGUUGUUUCUCAUGAUGUAGUUUCUCUAUUGUAAUUUUUUCAUUCAAUAAAAUUUGAUAACAUUAUCAGAAAAAAAAAGAAAAGAAAAAGAAAAAGGU